CGACUUUCAUUAAUUUCAAAUUGCAACAGUUAUUAAAAACGCUUAAUAGCUUAACAGGGAUUUUAAACUCUCGCUACUACCUGGUCGAAAUUCAUAUUGGUACACUCCUUUUUUUAAAUAAAAUCGGGUUUACUCUUCUUACUUUUUUUUUACAUUUUGUAUCUUAUAUAUAAAGAAAAUGAACAUUGAACAUUUCUGACUCUAUAAAGCAUAUAUAUUCUUGAUCAGCAUCAAUAGCCGAGUCAAUUGAGCCAUGUCUGUCUGUCCGUCUGCCCGUCCCUAUCAGCUACUAGUGCUCAAAGACUAUAAGAACUAGGGCAACGACAUUUUGUAUCCAGACUUCUGUGAUAUGUCACUGUUACAGUUUAUUUCAGAAUAACGACACCUCGUUGAAGCAGCCUUAUAAAUGGUUGCUUCAACUUUCGAUCGGAUGUGCUCAGUUAAACAUGCUCACAUUUCUCACCCAAAUGCGGUUAAUUCGUGCUCUGUUGUCUCUCGUUGUAAUUUUUACCGCAACUUUACUUAUCUAAGUACAAUUUAAUCUCUUCUCUAUGGUAAGAGAACUCUAAAUUUAGUAAAUAUUUUAACGAAAUAAGCCUAUAAAACGUACCCAGUGUAAUAUACAUACAAACUCAACUUCGUCUACAAUUAUUUUUUACGUAUGAACUUUUAUUCACUAUUUUAACCAAAAAAUAUAAAAUUUCAAUACUUUUUAAUAAUAAAUAAUGAAAAACAGCAAGUUCUUCGUACAUCAUAUUUUAAGGAAAAUUUUCAUUUGUAAUGGUGUACAAGUGACGUUUGUCAAGGUCUCAAAAGAUGCACUUGGUUACUGUACAAACACAACUAGAAUUCCCUAAAAUAUAUUGGACGUUUACAAAGCGUUUCGAACGAUUUUACAUUCAGGUAGUGCACCAAAAUGAACAAGAUCCUACAAAUCGGAAGUACUUUUGAAAAUGUUACUUAUAAUGUUCGCUUAUAAUGCCAAUAAAAAACAAUUAUAUCUACA
Long non-coding RNA from Drosophila pseudoobscura, 1006 nucleotides. RefSeq lists it as uncharacterized. Lineage: Eukaryota; Metazoa; Arthropoda; Insecta; Diptera; Drosophilidae. The record is from RefSeq and is a predicted model, not a curated record. The transcript is spliced from 2 exons.